Molecule: small RNA, 1672 nt
Filed under: Pongo abelii (Sumatran orangutan)
Lineage: Eukaryota; Metazoa; Chordata; Mammalia; Primates; Hominidae
Description: retained intron
Source: RNAcentral
CGGCGCGGCGAGAGCAGAGCGGCGCGCCGGUUCCUUGGCUCCCGAGGGCGAUGGCGCCGGGUGGCUGGCGCCGGCUGCGCCGCCUGUUAUCCGCGGGGCAGCUUCUAUUCCAGGGCCGCGCGCUGCUCGUCACUAACACGCUGGGCUGCGGCGCGCUCAUGGCGGCAGGUGAUGGCGUGCGCCAGUCCUGGGAGAUCCGCGCCCGGCCCGGCCAGGUUUUCGACCCACGGCGCUCCGGUGAGGACGCCACGCUGCUUAGCCCUUCACCCCGGGCGACCUUUGAUCCCGACACCCGACUGCGGGCCGUGACCCCUGACCCGUGGCCUCAGUCCCCCGCAGGACCCUUGCACUGACCGCACCUCUCCCCGGGUGUCUGUCUCCCCGCAGCCCUGGGUCUCCAUCACCUCCCAACCCCCGGAGGUCUCUGCCCACUACCUAGGAGCCUCUGGAGCCGCGCCUCCUGGUGGGGCUUGUAGUAGAAGAAUGCACGGGUGGCCUCUUCCGGUUUUCCCGGUGAGGCUGAGGCUCCGGGAUGUCAUUGGGCUUACCCAGGUCUUAGCCAGGGAGGGAGGGAAUGGACUGGGGAAUUUGCCGGCCCGACUCAGCCCCCUGACUUACACUCUUAUAGCGAGCAUGUUUGCGGUGGGCUGCAGCAUGGGUCCCUUCCUUCACUACUGGUACUUGUCGCUGGAUCGCCUAUUCCCUGCGUCUGGCCUCCGAGGCUUCCCAAAUGUCCUCAAGAAGGUCCUCGUGGAUCAGCUGGUAGCCUCUCCCUUGCUGGGCGUCUGGUACUUCUUGGGCAGACUGGUGCGUGUGGCCUGCUGCGCAGUUCGUGAACUUCCUCUUCGUGCCCCCCCAAUUUCGAGUCACCUACAUCAACGGCCUGACGCUGGGCUGGGACACGUACCUGUCCUACUUGAAGUACCGGAGCCCAGUUCCUCUGACACCCCCAGGCUGUGUGGCCCUGGACACCCGAGCAGACUGAACUGUCUGCUUCCUGGACCGGAUGCAAGACUGACUCCUGGCAGACCACCCCCUCUACCAGAAGGGGAAUGGGUUCCUGCAGCAAGCUCGGGUCCUGGGCCACAUCCCAGCACCACUCCAGCUCCCAGGCAUUGGGCUGAGCUGCCCUUUCCAAGCUCACUUCUGGGACUCAGUUUCCCCAACCGGAACACACCCGUGAAGAUGGAUGAUCAUCCCCUAGCCCUUCUCAGCAGGAACCUCAUGCGACCUGUGACCAAGAUGUCCCAUCCUCAGUACAGGGCCCACCCUGCCAACCAGUCUCAAGCACCAGCCCCUCAACACUGCCAUCCACCUGGCUCUGGGCCAAGCCACUAAUCCAGAGCUCCCUCAGGUCCUGGGACUAAGGCGGGGACAUGACCGAUCCCCUCAGAGCAGGCUCAGGCCCGGAGUUGGCCCCCAAAAGUUUCACAUAGGGCCAGGCAGCCUCUGUGUUUCUUUCCCUGGUCGUGAACUGUGGAAAUGCCAUUAAAUUCUCUCUAUAAUGUAACUGAAACUGCUGGCUGGGCGCAGUGGUUCCCACCUGUAAUCUCAGCCUUUCACGAGGCUGAGGUGGAAGGAUUGCUUGAGGCCAGGUGUUCGAGACCAGCCUGGGCAACAUAGCAAGACCCUAUCUCUAUUUAUAUUGAAAAAUAAAAAUAACAAAAGAAAA